AGCAAAGAGGGAGUGAGAGAGAAGACCGAGUAUUAGAGACGAAAGAGAUGAGAGCACGUUCUUACCUCCAUUGCUUGCCACACAGCUGGCUUCUUGCUGGAUAAAGGCUUUGCCCAUGGGACAGACGCUGAUCCAAAGGCUGGCAGAUUCCUCUUCUCCCUGCCCUGUGAGAAACAGCUUCGGGAAACCAGAGAGAGUUGCAAACCCUAGAUCAAUGUCUCUUAUCAGCUCUCAGCUUCAGGAGCCUACUCAGCCUAAAACAAUCAGGUGCUGGCCUCAUCCACCCAGGUGAGGAACUGGAUGGAGCCCGACUUCUGGUUUCUUCUUUGCUGUUCUGUGCAGUCAAAACUCUGGGAUCCAGGGAACAGCAGUUAAUGACUCUUUGGGGCCCAGAAUUGGAGCUCCUUGGUGGCAUUUGCAUCCUCUUUCACCAGAUGACUUAGGCAGCGCUUCCUGACCUUUGUCAUGCUGUAGUUCUCAUAGAAAAUGAAACUUUUUACAGCCACUGCAGUAAAGAACCAAGGCUGCCUCUGGCCCCUGAGGCCAAUAUUGGCCCAACUGGAAUCCACUAGAGGGCUGCACGUUGGCUAGGAAGCUCUGACUGAUGGCAUGGGCUUCCCUGCCAGGGCUCAUGGUGCAUAGGCGAAGGAAGAGGGGCGUGAUCUCUCUCAGACGCUGAGAAUUAUUUGGGUUGCUCAUAAUUACUUGGCCUAGGGUCACCCAGAAAGUUACUGAAGACAAGAGAUGGUAUCCAAGAUCCCUAGCGGCAGGGACUGAAUCUCACUCAUCUUUGUCUCCGCAGUGCCUAGCACUGUGCCCGGCCCCAAGCAGUACUCAGUAAGAACUUGUGGACCCAAUUCAAGUGUCCUAGUUGGUGAUUCUGAUGGAUGAUUGAUUGGAGUAGGAGUCUAAUCCACUUUGUCCUUCCCACCUGGUCCUUUUACUUCUAUCCCCAUGACCCCCGACUCUCCUAACCCUCACAGCACAGGAUGGGGGGCCUCUUGACCACCAGAAUUCCAUUUUGCGGCGGGCGCAGCGUUCCCGGUCUAGGCCUUAGCUCUCUCAUUUCAAUGAGGGCAACAUCUACGGAGAACUCCCGUGCAUUCUUGGUGGAAGGAAACAAACUUGAGACUUGGAUUCUGCUGUCAGGCAGCAGACAGUUUAAUGAGAAGUGUGGAAUGAGGCUCAGUGGAAAUAUCACAUAUAAGACAUGAUGCACGUCCAGAGGAGGUACAAGCAGGAAGUUCCAGUUGAACCCGUUAGCACUGUCCACCCGGGACUGUGGUGCCUGGCCUAGGCCUAGGCCUGCCCAUCGCUUGUUGUCUGAACAAGGAACCCUGGAGGGAGAGGUGGAAGGCAGAAGGAAGCCCUGGACAUACACUGGAUCCCACAUAGACAUUUGGGCACCUACCAGAAGACAUCGCCUUCUUACAAUGCAGAACAGACGAUGCACUGUCUCAGGUCACGCUUAGCCUCCUACGGGGGCACGACAGAAGAAGAGGAACAUUUAGAGAGGCACAGCUCCUACAUCCUUGGAUGGGGAGAGUGGGGAGCAAACAGGCCAGGAGCCUACUGUGAUCAGAGCUGGGGGAGCCAGUGUGAGCAGCAGGUGCAAUGAAAGGAUGUGGGAGUUUGAGACCCAUCUCUGCUGUGUGGCCCUGGCCAUGUGCAGUGGGGUUUCAAUCUGACCUCACUCAGAAAACGGAGCCACUUGCUUAGAGUCCCUCUCUCUGAACACGCUCUCCCCUCUGGAGGAAAAGCAUUGCAAUCCCAAGCUCCUGCUGCUGCCGUACAUCUGCAUCUUAUUCAUCUUUGAAGCUCCUGCAAUGCCUCCAACGGGGACACAACUAAAGGAAGCUCUCAGAACGCCCAGCUAUCCCCACUGCAGAAGGCUCUCCCUGAAAGGGCACAGGUGGAGGACGUUUGCAUUUAUCUGGAGACAGUUCAUGGAGAAACACAAAGAGGUGUCCUGACAAGACAACAGGUCCACAGCAGUCGUCAUCAUGAGUGCUCACCAUAUGCCAGGGUUCAUCUUUUAAAAUCCUUAACCAAACAACCAAACUGUGGUUGGGAUUAUUCUCUUUUUAUAGGUGAGAAAACUGAGGCUGAAAGCCAUUGGGUGGUUUGCCAAAGCUGAGAAGUAGCUGAGCUGGGGUUUGUACUCACACCACGGUGACUCGGAGGCCCAAGCCAGUUCUGACACACUGCCUUCCCAUGACAUUCCCACGACAGGUUCCCGAGGUCGUUGGAAUGCUUACACAUUUCAGCAACUUCAUGGCAACUGCCCAGCUCGACCCAGAAGAUAAUACUACCUUGUACUCCCCCUGCCGCUUCCUUCCUCCAGGCAGCUCACAGACAUGACCUCAUUCCCUCUCCCAGAGUCCCAUAGGGGUGAAGGACAGGGUGGGGAUCGUUAACUCUGCUUCCUAGGGAGGAAAGGGAGGCCCAGAGAGGGAUGCUGGCCCACCCUGGGUCAUCCAGCCAGCUAGCGGGAGAGCUGCAACUGGAAAUCAGGCUUCCCUGCCCUCGGGGACAGUUAUUUAGCCUCCUGGAUGUGAGCUAGAAUCACCCCUAAGAUGCAGCAAUUGGGGUACUCCUCUUGGGGUACUGGGACUCAGUGGCUGAAACAGCUCCAAGAGAGUUGGGCCUGUGCUGAAAACAGAAAUCCGAGAUGCAUAUAAAUUCAAUCCGUAUGAGAAGAGCAGGGUGGCCUGGGAGGAGUGGUCACCGCAGUGGCUCCACCUCCUACCCGGCCACCUGCAGCCCUGCCUGGGCUGCUCUUGGUCUCUCUGUGCCCAGCUUCCCUGGCCGGAUGCCCUGGGGGCCAGAGCAGCCGCAGGUGCGAUGAAAAGAACACUGGCCUUGAGGUCAUGGGACCUGGGGAGGAUAUUCACCAGGGGCCCCUAAGUUAGUCAUUUUAGCUCUCAGCUUUUCCAUUUUUCAUUCAAAAAAUGGGGACUCUAACUCCAUGAAAGAGACAUUGUGUGUGAAAUAUUUCAUCAUAAGCUGUGAAGCCUGCAAAGAAACUCCUGGUGUUCUCUGUAGCCUGAUUUCAUCUCUACUAAACGCUAUUUUGAAAAUGAUUUUGAAGCUGGUGGGUCACAUAGAAGGAUGGCCUGAGCAUCCAUCCAUCUUCCCUCCGGUGACCCUUUCACUUCGUGUCUGUGGUACCCAGUGCCUGGUACUGAAUGUUCCUGGGUGGCCCCGUGGUUCGGCAAACUUUCUGGAAAGGCCCAGGUAGUAAAUAUUUGAGGCCUGGUGGGCCACAUAUGGUUUUGGUC
Molecule: long non-coding RNA, 3281 nt
Filed under: Homo sapiens (human)
Lineage: Eukaryota; Metazoa; Chordata; Mammalia; Primates; Hominidae
Description: HSALNT0345649
Source: RNAcentral